GGCGGACGGGUUAGUAACGCGUGGGAAUAUACCCGGUACUAAGGAAUAGCCUCUGGAAACGGAGAGUAAUACCUUAUACGCCCUUCGGGGGAAAGAUUUAUCGGUAUCGGAUUAGUCCGCGUUAGAUUAGUUAGUUGGUGGGGUAACGGCCUACCAAGACGACGAUCUAUAGCUGGUUUGAGAGGAUGAUCAGCAACACUGGGACUGAGACACGGCCCAGACUCCUACGGGAGGCAGCAGUGGGGAAUCUUAGACAAUGGGCGCAAGCCUGAUCUAGCCAUGCCGCGUGAGUGAUGAAGGCCUUAGGGUCGUAAAGCUCUUUCGCCAGGGAUGAUAAUGACAGUACCUGGUAAAGAAACCCCGGCUAACUCCGUGCCAGCAGCCGCGGUAAUACGGAGGGGGUUAGCGUUGUUCGGAAUUACUGGGCGUAAAGCGCGCGUAGGCGGAUUAGUCAGUUAGAGGUGAAAUCCCGGGGCUCAACCCCGGAACUGCCUUUAAUACUGCUAGUCUCGAGUUCGAGAGAGGUGAGUGGAAUUCCGAGUGUAGAGGUGAAAUUCGUAGAUAUUCGGAGGAACACCAGUGGCGAAGGCGGCUCACUGGCUCGAUACUGACGCUGAGGUGCGAAAGUGUGGGGAGCAAACAGGAUUAGAUACCCUGGUAGUCCACACCGUAAACGAUGAAUGCCAGUCGUCGGGUAGUAUACUAUUCGGUGACACACCUAACGGAUUAAGCAUUCC
This 737-nucleotide ribosomal RNA is filed under the name uncultured Roseovarius sp. RNAcentral describes it as "bacterial SSU rRNA". It matches the Rfam family "Bacterial small subunit ribosomal RNA", at positions 97 to 870 of the family's 1533-position model. Lineage: Bacteria; Pseudomonadati; Pseudomonadota; Alphaproteobacteria; Rhodobacterales; Roseobacteraceae. The record is from RNAcentral.